RNAcentral lists this ribosomal RNA (200 nucleotides) under Listeria monocytogenes. RNAcentral describes it as "partial 16S ribosomal RNA". It matches the Rfam family "Bacterial small subunit ribosomal RNA", at positions 1 to 195 of the family's 1533-position model. The record is from RNAcentral. Lineage: Bacteria; Bacillati; Bacillota; Bacilli; Caryophanales; Listeriaceae.
UUUAAAGAGAGUUUGAUCCUGGCUCAGGACGAACGCUGGCGGCGUGCCUAAUACAUGCAAGUCGAACGAACGGAGGAAGGGCUUGCUCUUCCAAAGUUAGUGGCGGACGGGUGAGUAACACGUGGGCAACCUGCCUGUAAGUUGGGGAUAACUCCGGGAAACCGGGGCUAAUACCGAAUGAUAAAGUGUGGCGCAUGCCA